Molecule: ribosomal RNA, 448 nt
Filed under: uncultured Actinomycetes bacterium
Lineage: Bacteria; Bacillati; Actinomycetota; Actinomycetes
Description: bacterial SSU rRNA
Rfam family: Bacterial small subunit ribosomal RNA
Source: RNAcentral
GGACCCGCACAAGUAGCGGAGCAUGCGGAUUAAUUCGAUGCAACGCGAAGAACCUUACCGGGGCUUGACAUAUAGUAGAAAGUUUCUAGAGAUAGUUACCCCUCUUCGGAGCUGCUAUACAGGUGGUGCAUGGUUGUCGUCAGCUCGUGUCGUGAGAUGUUCGGUUAAGUCCGAUAACGAGCGCAACCCUCGUCUUAUGUUGCUAACAGGUUAUGCUGAGAACUCAUAAGAUACUGCCCGGGUCAACCGGGAGGAAGGUGGGGAUGACGUCAAAUCAUCAUGCCCCUUACGUCCCGGGCUUCACGCGUGCUACAAUGGCCGGUACAAAGAGUCGCAAUAUAGUAAUAUGGAGCCAAUCUCAAAAAACCGGUACUCAGUUCAGAUUGGGGUCGUGCAACUCGACCCCACUGAAGAUGGAGUUACUAGUAAUCGUGGAUCAGCAAUGCCA